CAAGCCUAGACUCAGGAUUUAUGAUCCGUGUGACCCAGGAUUAAUCUGGUGACAACUGACAACACACACAAGUUUCCUUUACGACACGUGCAAGUUUAACCAACAGCACCAUGACGUGAGUCCCUGAGGAUGCCGAGAUGAGGGAAGUGAGGCUCAGAGAAGACUUGUGACCUGCAUCGGGUCCUCCCGAGCUGUCUGACUCCACGGCUCUGGUCCUUGCCUGCUGUUGGACCAUCCUGCCUCCCCCUGGAUGACCUGCCAGAGAGUGGACGCUGCUCUCUGGGGCCCGAGAGAGCGGGGGUCAGACUGGGGAGCCCACAGGAACUACCAUCGGCAGCUCAGACAGCCCAGCCACCGCUGUGCUGUGGAGACACACCAAGCCACAGGGGGCGAGGCCUGGCUCCCAGACUUAUUUGCUGUGUGACUGUCGGCACGCUGGCUUCCUGUUUGAACCUUCGUGUCCUCAACUGUUCAAAGAAGAUGAAGAUCCUCAUGUGUGGUUAAGGCGGUAACAGAUGGAAGUUUGUCUUUUGGAAGAACCUGGAGCAUUUGACGGGAAGAGUUUUCAAGAGUCUGGAUCACCGCUGUUAUUUUUCAUAUGUGCUCCCUUCCCUCCAGCUCCCUCUUUCCAGCUCCUUCCCUCUUUGUGCUUGGAUUUGAAGUGACAUAGAUUGGGUCGCAUAGUGACAUAGGACUGUUUUUCCAGUUGCUGUGUGACCUUGGACAAGUCCCUUAACCUCUCUGAACCUGUUUCCUCAACUGGCAAAUGAAAGGAUGACCUAAAAGAUCUCUGAGGGCCUUCCAGCUUUCUCCGUCUCAUCUCUCAAGCACCAGGCUCCUGUCUCACAGUCUCUUCUUAAAAGCAACUUUACUGGGCGAAAAGAACACUGGGAUGAGAAUCAGAGAGACCUGCUGGAAUCCAAUUUGCACCGGGACUAGCUCUGUGAACUUGGGCAAGUUGCUUAACCUCUCUGAGUUUCUACUUCCUCGUCUGUAGAAUGGGGAUCCUGAUACCUGACCCCUGGAUCUGGAGCAAGGCUUAAAUGAGAUCUUGUCCAUAAAGCAUUUGGUGUCUGGCACUAAAUGGAUAUGCUAAAGAAAUGUUGC
RNAcentral lists this long non-coding RNA (1107 nucleotides) under Equus caballus (horse). RNAcentral's name for it is "lncRNA (ENSECAG00000047522.1)". Lineage: Eukaryota; Metazoa; Chordata; Mammalia; Perissodactyla; Equidae. The record is from RNAcentral.